UAGGGAAUCUUCCACAAUGGGCGCAAGCCUGAUGGAGCAACACCGCGUGAGUGAAGAAGGGUUUCGGCUCGUAAAGCUCUGUUGUUAAAGAAGAACACGUAUGAGAGUAACUGUUCAUACGUUGACGGUAUUUAACCAGAAAGUCACGGCUAACUACGUGCCAGCAGCCGCGGUAAUACGUAGGUGGCAAGCGUUAUCCGGAUUUAUUGGGCGUAAAGAGAGUGCAGGCGGUUUUCUAAGUCUGAUGUGAAAGCCUUCGGCUUAACCGGAGAAGUGCAUCGGAAACUGGAUAACUUGAGUGCAGAAGAGGGUAGUGGAACUCCAUGUGUAGCGGUGGAAUGCGUAGAUAUAUGGAAGAACACCAGUGGCGAAGGCGGCUACCUGGUCUGCAACUGACGCUGAGACUCGAAAGCAUGGGUAGCGAACAGGAUUAGAUACCCUGGUAGUCCAUGCCGUNNCGAUGAGUGCUAGGUGUUGGAGGGUUUCCGCCCUUCAGUGCCGGAGCUAACGCAUUAAGCACUCCGCCUGGGGAGUACGACCGCAAGGUUG
Molecule: ribosomal RNA, 549 nt
Filed under: uncultured bacterium
Lineage: Bacteria
Description: bacterial SSU rRNA
Rfam family: Bacterial small subunit ribosomal RNA
Source: RNAcentral